Molecule: ribosomal RNA, 497 nt
Filed under: uncultured bacterium
Lineage: Bacteria
Description: partial 16S ribosomal RNA
Rfam family: Bacterial small subunit ribosomal RNA
Source: RNAcentral
GAUGAACCCUGGCGGCGUGCCUAAUACAUGCAAGUCGAGCGAACGGACGAGAAGCUUGCUUCUCUGAUGUUAGCGGCGGACGGGUGAGUAACACGUGGAUAACCUACCUAUAAGACUGGGAUAACUUCGGGAAACCGUAGCUAAUACCGGAUAAUAUUUUGAACCGCAUGGUUCAAAAGUGAAAGACGGUCUUGCUGUCACUUAUAGAUGGAUCCGCGCUGCAUUAGCUAGUUGGUAAGGUAACGGCUUACCAAGGCAACGAUGCAUAGCCGACCUGAGAGGGUGAUCGGCCACACUGGAACUGAGACACGGUCCAGACUCCUACGGGAGGCAGCAGUAGGGAAUCUUCCGCAAUGGGCGAAAGCCUGACGGAGCAACGCCGCGUGAGUGAUGAAGGUCUUCGGAUCGUAAAACUCUGUUAUUAGGGAAGAACAUAUGUGUAAGUAACUGUGCACAUCUUGACGGUACCUAAUCAGAAAGCCACGGCUAACUACGUG